RNAcentral lists this long non-coding RNA (859 nucleotides) under Marmota monax (woodchuck). The record is from RNAcentral. Lineage: Eukaryota; Metazoa; Chordata; Mammalia; Rodentia; Sciuridae.
CCCAGGCCUCCCGCUUACCAGGCAGGCGCUCCUCCGCCCAGCAACACCCCGACCCCCUGUUCUUCUCUGCUACCAGGAAUUGAACCAGGGGCGCUCAACCGGGGAGCCACGUCCCCAGCCUUUUCAUUGUUUGAGACAGGGUCUCAGUGGUUGCUUAGGGCCUUGCUAAAUUGCCGAGGCUGUCCUCCAACCUGCGAUCCUCCUGCCUCAGAGUCCUGAGUACCAGGAUUAUGGUCACGUGCCACCAUACUGUUGUUGUUGUUUUUUAAAGAGUGUAUGGCUUUUGUUUUGUUCUUUUGGAACUGGGGACUGAACCCUGCGGUGCUCUAUCACUGAGCUACAUCUCUAACCCUUUUUAUUUUAUUUACAGGCAGGAUCCUGCUAAAUUGUUGAGGCUGGCCUCAAACUUGGAAUCCUCCUGCCUCAGCCUCCUGUGUCACUGGAAUUAAAGUGCUCAUCACCACACCCAGCAAAGGAGUCAUUUUUCCGUUGUUUUUGUCUCUACAAGGCAAAUAAAUUUGAAAUGACCAAUCUAAAUAAACUAAGAUCUUUUUUCUUGCCAGGUGUGGUGGUGCAUGCCUGUGAUCCCAGCUACUCAGGAGGCUGAGUCAGGAGCAGGAGGAUUGAAGGUUCCAGGUCAGCCUGGGCGGUUUAGCAAGACCCUGUCAAAACAACAAGAAGUGCGGCGGGGUGAAGCUCAGGCAGUGUGCUCCAGGGUUCCAUCCCCGGUGCCCAGAGGCCGUGGGGUGAGGCACUGACUGCUGGCUGAUUUUUUUUCUGGACUCUUAUGAUUGACUGGUGAGCAACUAUGGACUGGUAAGUGCUUUCUUGGCUUAAUUGCCACUUUGCAAGAGAUGGG